Rosa chinensis is the source of this 544-nucleotide long non-coding RNA. RefSeq lists it as uncharacterized. NCBI's taxonomy places the organism in Eukaryota, Viridiplantae, Streptophyta, Magnoliopsida, Rosales, Rosaceae. The transcript is spliced from 4 exons. The record is from RefSeq and is a predicted model, not a curated record.
ACCGGCCAUGUUUCACAUUUCUAUCAACUUGAUUGUAAAACUGCAAGUAUGCUGCAUUAUCAAAAGAAGAGUGGGAAGAACAAUUCGCAAGUAUAAACUGCAAGUAUGCUGCAUUACUUGGAGAUUAUAGUUUUAUUCUGAAGCAUAAACAACGCAGGUUGUUAAAGUGAAAUCAGCCAUCUCAAGGUCUGUUAGCAAGAAGAAAUAGGUGUCAAGUGCUGGGUAUGGUCACAAUCUGAACUGUUCAAAGGUGCAAUCAUCCAUCUUUGGGGCUUCUAUCUCAACCUGGUCGUCUUUACAUUUCAGCAUAUGCAGUGAAAAAUUAUAUGCAAACUCUGAAGGCAAGUGAUUGGCAUCUUGAAGGAGCUAGGAGCAUUUAAUAUAUUCUACAGCAAAGCCACGGGAGGAGAAGAAAAAACAAAUGUCCAAGCUCUAGAGUACAUUGUAAAUUAUUUUGCUAGUUAGCUUCAAUAGUUAGGUCUCAUGGAAUAAUUAAUGACUAUUGUAGAUGUAUUUUGAUGGCUGUAAUGGCAUUGGAGUUUUC